CGCUCUUUCCUCUUUGUAUGCCUGAGAUGGUUGAGCCAUGGUCGGAAUCUUUCUGCCGGGGUGAUCCCCCAUGGCAGAUCAGCAAUUUGGGGUUUGUAAACAGGGGUGGGAGUUGUUCUGCAAAAUUGUGCUUAGUCACGACUGACACUGAGGAGAGCUGGGAGUUGUUCUGCAACUAGCUUCUACUCAUGUGUUUGAUUAAGUUCCUGAAAGAUAUGGUGGGAACCAUCUUUGGUCAGAAGUUGUAAAUCUGGGCUUCUACUUUUGUACCGCAGAGGAGGAGCCAAGAACAAGUCUGGCAGAUCGCUACAACAUGGAGGUUCAGAUACUCCUAAAUUUUCAUCAGGAGGUUCGGUUCUCAUUAGCAAUUGUGACACUGAUUACGCUCCUGGAGAAAAAGAAACAGAUGGGGCUCAAAGAAAACGAGAUUGAUCCUCAAAUACUAGUAAUAGUGACUGUGGGGACAAUUUGGAAAAAAUACUAUUCCAACCGCUGAGAUGAAGCAACACCAGAAGCUAAGGCGCUGUGACUCUUGGUUAAUUGUUUCUCAGAAACUGUUGCAUCUUCUGCUCUUAAAGACUAUGGAAAACAGAACAACUCAUCAAGUCAUGGUCACAUAAUCUUAGGAACUAAAGAAAAAAUAAGGGGAACACAGAAGUCUCGUAUUGGGUCUCCGCAAUGGCCAGUAAAGAGCCUUUUGAUUGUGAGAGUGAUGACGAUUCUACGUCCAUUUUCAGUUCUGAUGAAAAUGAGAGGUUAAAGCAUGAGAGGUAAUCAAGUUACAUAUACGUAAAUAUAUAUUAUAUACAUGUCUGCUUAGUGCAUUUGAAAAGGUUCCUGAAGUUUGAUUACAAACUGCCUUUUCUGUAUUUGGGAUCAGUUCUGUCAUGCUUCUCUUAAUACUCAUGGUAUCGAUUUAGGUGGGAUUAUUAAUCGUCCAUAUGGGGUUUGGUCAUUUCUGUUGCAUGUCAUUAUCAGAUAGUGGAGGGUAGAAUCAGUUUUUAACAGGUUCCAUUUUUUAUCCCAAGUAUGGAAUGAGUUAGAGUAGUAUUUAUUUCUUCAGUUGGUAAGUUUUCUGAUGGUAGUAGCACAUUGACAUAUCUAAUAACCCAAAGAGAUUCAAAGAGCUCAUUCUGAUGGAAUGAGUUACAGAUCAUUAAAUUAUUUGAGGCGUAUCCACCGCAGUCUCAACAACCAACUUUGGUUAGAAUGUCAAUUUUUUAGCAACCUCAUGAGCAGUGCCAUGAGCUCUUCUAGAUACAUGGGAAAAACCAGAAGCUUUAUAAAGAGCUAACAGAGACCCCUCACCUCCUCUACCACUACUCCUGCAAAACAUCCCUCAUUGCUAUUCACCAUACUCACAACUUCCAAACAAAUCCGAUUUAACCAUAAAAUAGGACCAGCCAUUCUGUUUUGCAAUAUCCAACCCAAUAACACAGCAUGCAGCUCAGCUGCACAAAUAUGCAGCCUCCCACCAAGCCUCUCACCUACUGCCAUAAUUAAAUUUCCCAAACUAUCUCUCACCACAAUUCCAAUACCCCCAUUCAAACCAUCACUAGAAACAGGUGCAUCACAAUUAAUUUCAAACAACCUGAAUAGGGAGGCCUUCACUGCUCACAACUAGCAUUCCGCCUGGCUGCUCCAUCACUUCUUUUUGGUGCACCAUGAACAGACAACAAACUGUCCCACAGUAAUAGGCCAUGAGCAAAUAACACCUCAGGCAGCGUAGGAUGAUCUCCAUGUAGCCUG
Fragaria vesca subsp. vesca is the source of this 1749-nucleotide RNA transcript. RefSeq lists it as uncharacterized. Lineage: Eukaryota; Viridiplantae; Streptophyta; Magnoliopsida; Rosales; Rosaceae. The transcript has 2 exons. The record is from RefSeq and is a predicted model, not a curated record.